This is a long non-coding RNA of Alexandromys fortis (reed vole), 2268 nucleotides long. RefSeq lists it as uncharacterized. The record is from RefSeq and is a predicted model, not a curated record. The transcript has 3 exons. Lineage: Eukaryota; Metazoa; Chordata; Mammalia; Rodentia; Cricetidae.
GUGUGCAUGUCCUUUUCUGUGUGUCACCGCUUCUCAUGUGCGGAUUCCUAUAAGCACCUCUGAUAUCGAGACUCGUAUGUCUCAUUGCCACAAAAAUCUUCACGAUGCUGGUUAUAAUAACAUCUAAAUCCCUCACUGUCCCUCGCCCCUAGCAACUACUGAUUUGCCUGACAAAACGUAUUUUUAAGGGUGUCGUAUAAAAGGAAUCAUGCCGUAUGCUAUGAACUGGAUUAUAUCACAGAAUCCAUAUGUUAGAACCCUAAUCCUCUUAUUUGACUGCAUUUGAAACUAAAGACUUUAUGUAGUAAUUAAAGUUAAAUGAUGAGACGUAAGAAAGGUCCCAACCCUGUCUCCCACCCCGACUCAUCCCAUGGGGAAGCAAAGUAAGAAGGUAGCUAGCUGCCUGCAAGCCAGGAAGGGUCCUAGCUGGAAAUUACCUCUGCGGAACCUUGACUUGGGACUUACAGCUUCCAGAACUGUAAGGAGACAAAUGUUUGUUAUUAAAGCUCCUCAGUGCACGGCCUCAUUUGUGGCUUUCUUAAUAUGCAAAUGCACUGUCCUUGACCUCUGGAGAAUGGCUCCCCACCGCCACCACACUCAGCCUAAGGUUCAUGAAAUCCAUUCAAACUGUGUAGGGUAUGUUAAUAAUUUAGUCCUUCUUGUUGCUUGCAAGUCCUCCAACUGACUUCUUCAAAAGCUUCAGUUUAGUCUUGGUGUUCUGGAGAUGGAUAUGGAGUGUCUAAGAAGUCUCUUUUCCUUUAAAAAUUCUUCUGGAGAUUUUUUUUCUGCUUCCUGAAUUCAAGAACUCAUGUGAUUCACUGCCGGGAGAUGGCUCAGUGGACACGGGGCUUGAUAUGCAAGGACAAGGAGCAUAAGGACCUGGAUGUGUACCCUUGGCGUCCUCUGGAAACUCAGCUUGGUGGAUUAACAGUCAUCUUGGAGACGUAUUCCUGGGCACAUCUGUGAGACUGACUCCAGAGAGGACUAACUACGGAGGGAAGAUCACCCAGAAUGUGGGCAAGCAGCUCCUGCAGGUUGGCAUCUUAGGCUGGGAAAAGGACAAAGCCAACAGAGCAUCGUCAUUCACCUGUCUCUGUGUCCUGACUGCACAAGCCUCCCUGGCUAUGCUCUAACAUGCUACCUCAAGCAGGCAGCUGAAAAGGAGACCCAAAACACAGGAGAUCAUACAACCUGGAGCACACAAAAGCUAGGCAGGCCAGCGCAGCCCAUAAUGAUUAAGACCUGGCAUCUUUCUUGAGACUGCAGAUCUUCCUUGGUCAACACCAACCCAAGCUAACCAUGCUCCCACUUUCGCAUUCCCAGUACUGGGAUUCCAGGGGUGUGACAUUGUUCACCUUGCUUUGUCGUCACUGCUUCCUACCGACCAUCUAAGACGCUCUGCCCGUACUUCUUUUUACCUCUUUAUCGGAACCAGUUGGGAAGGGAGAAAAUGGGGGCUUGCUUCAGUGUGAACAACACUGGAGAUUCAUACAUCCUUUCUGCUUUAAUUUCGCUGGUCAGAGAACGGAGUCACGGGACUACAUCUAUCUGACAAAGACACUUGGAAAGAAUCAUAUUCAUUUGGGGGAAAUGAAGGGCCUAUCCUGGACCAGCUUGUUCUGAUUUCCCAGGGACUUCUUGUCUUUGACACUGGAAGUCCUGCACCUUGGGAAUUCUCUAGGUCCAAAGUGAACAAAGAGAGUUGCCCCCAUGAACUUGUAAGUUUGAAAGAAAAAGGAAAGAGAUGGGGUCUGAAUCAGUAUUCUUUUGCUGUGAAGAGACACCCUGGCCCCGGCAACCCACAAAAGAAAGCAUUUAUUCGGGGCUUCCUUACAGCUUCAGAAUUUUGUCCAUUGUCAUCAUGUCAGGAGAACACACAGCACACAGCCAGACUUUGUGCUGGAGGAGCAGCUGAGAGUUUUACGUCUGGAUUUACAGGUAGCAGGAAGAGAGUGACACUGGGCCUGGCCAAGCCCACCCUCAGUGACACACUUCCUCCAACUAGGCCACACCUCCUAAUCCUUUCAAAUAGUGCCACUUCCUGGUGACUGAGCAUUGGAACUGUUGGGCUUGUAGAGGUCAUUCUUAUCAAGCCACCAAGAUGGCUAGUGUUGUGCCUACCUCCUCCUCUCUGCCCAGGACGCCCUGUGCAGCUGCUGUUUUUGCUGCUCUUCCUCACAGUAACCACCCUUGAAAGGGAGGACUUGAGCAGCGAGUGUUGGAGAGCCCACCUCACCCUUCUUACCCGGAGACACCAUAUCUAUUACU